UUUUCAUGAAGCCUAGCGAUUGAAAAGUUAGUGGCGGACGGGUGAGUAACGCGUGGGUAACCUGCCUUGUACUGGGGGACAACAGUUGGAAACGACUGCUAAUACCGCAUAAGCGCACAGCUUCGCAUGAAGCAGUGUGAAAAACUCCGGUGGUACAAGAUGGACCCGCGUCUGAUUAGCUGGUUGGUGAGGUAACGGCCCACCAAGGCGACGAUCAGUAGCCGGCCUGAGAGGGUGAACGGCCACAUUGGGACUGAGACACGGCCCAAACUCCUACGGGAGGCAGCAGUGGGGAAUAUUGCACAAUGGGGGAAACCCUGAUGCAGCAACGCCGCGUGAGUGAAGAAGUAUUUCGGUAUGUAAAGCUCUAUCAGCAGGAAAGAAAAUGACGGUACCUGACUAAGAAGCCCCGGCUAACUACGUGCCAGCAGCCGCGGUAAUACGUAGGGGGCAAGCGUUAUCCGGAUUUACUGGGUGUAAAGGGAGCGUAGACGGUUUUGCAAGUCUGAAGUGAAAGCCCGGGGCUUAACCCCGGGACUGCUUUGGAAACUGUAGGACUAGAGUGCAGGAGAGGUAAGUGGAAUUCCUAGUGUAGCGGUGAAAUGCGUAGAUAUUAGGAGGAACACCAGUGGCGAAGGCGGCUUACUGGACUGUAACUGACGUUGAGGCUCGAAAGCGUGGGGAGCAAACAGGAUUA
RNAcentral lists this ribosomal RNA (697 nucleotides) under uncultured Lachnospiraceae bacterium. Its description in RNAcentral is "bacterial SSU rRNA". It matches the Rfam family "Bacterial small subunit ribosomal RNA", at positions 50 to 780 of the family's 1533-position model. Lineage: Bacteria; Bacillati; Bacillota; Clostridia; Lachnospirales; Lachnospiraceae. The record is from RNAcentral.